This 470-nucleotide ribosomal RNA is filed under the name uncultured bacterium. RNAcentral's name for it is "bacterial SSU rRNA". It matches the Rfam family "Bacterial small subunit ribosomal RNA", at positions 28 to 484 of the family's 1533-position model. The record is from RNAcentral.
GACGAACGCUGGCGGCGUGCCUAAUACAUGCAAGUCGAGCGAAUUUACGAGAGCUUGCUCUCGUAAAUUAGCGGCGGACGGGUGAGUAACACGUGGGCAACCUGCCUAUAAGACUGGGAUAACUUCGGGAAACCGGAGCUAAUACCGGAUAAUUCACAUCUACUCAUGUAGAUGUGCUGAAAGACGGUUUACGCUGUCACUUAUAGAUGGGCCCGCGGCGCAUUAGCUAGUUGGUGAGGUAACGGCUCACCAAGGCCACGAUGCGUAGCCGACCUGAGAGGGUGAUCGGCCACACUGGGACUGAGACACGGCCCAGACUCCUACGGGAGGCAGCAGUAGGGAAUCUUCCGCAAUGGACGAAAGUCUGACGGAGCAACGCCGCGUAGUGAUGAAGGUUUUCGGAUCGUAAACUCUGUUGUUAGGAAGAACAAGUACCAGAGUAACUGCUGGUACCUUGACGGUACCUAACC